RNAcentral lists this ribosomal RNA (253 nucleotides) under uncultured bacterium. RNAcentral's name for it is "partial 16S ribosomal RNA". It matches the Rfam family "Bacterial small subunit ribosomal RNA", at positions 524 to 776 of the family's 1533-position model. The record is from RNAcentral.
UACAGAGGUCUCAAGCGUUGUUCGGAUUCAUUGGGCGUAAAGGGUGCGUAGGCGGCGCGGUAAGUCGGGUGUGAAAUCUCGGGGCUUAACUCCGAAACUGCAUUCGAUACUGCCGUGCUUGAGGACUGGAGAGGAGACUGGAGUUUACGGUGUAGCGGUGAAAUGCGUAGAUAUCGUAAGGAAGACCAGUGGCGAAGGCGGGUCUCUGGACAGUUCCUGACGCUGAGGCACGAAGGUCAGGGGAGCAAACGGG